AUAUCCGAAAGACACCGAAACAGACACGCCUCCUAAAUGUCUGCGAUGCAUUCGACUCUGAGAAUUCCUCGCCUGUAAAUGUAUGCAGGUGAGGAGUUUCAGGUAGAGAAA
This 111-nucleotide non-coding RNA is filed under the name Methanosarcina acetivorans C2A. RNAcentral's name for it is "Archaeal Small RNA 41". It matches the Rfam family "Archaeal Small RNA 41". From Rfam's summary of the family: Highly expressed during nitrogen sufficiency. Capable to bind several ribosome binding sites independently within a polycistronic mRNA. Inhibits translation initiation of all ACDS (acetyl-CoA decarbonylase/ synthase complex) genes in N-dependent manner. Lineage: Archaea; Methanobacteriati; Methanobacteriota; Methanomicrobia; Methanosarcinales; Methanosarcinaceae. The record is from Rfam by way of RNAcentral.